Molecule: long non-coding RNA, 824 nt
Filed under: Gossypium barbadense (sea-island cotton)
Lineage: Eukaryota; Viridiplantae; Streptophyta; Magnoliopsida; Malvales; Malvaceae
Description: long non-coding RNA (GBAR_LNC000902)
Source: RNAcentral
AUUAUUAAAUCAAAUCCAUUUUUAUUAAUUAUGAGUUAUAUAUUACAAGGUUGUAUAUAAAAAACAGAAUAAAUAAUCAUAUUGAUUGUAGAGGCUUAAAUUUGACUGGGCCCAUUUUGCAACUUUUAACCCAAGCUAAAUAGGCCCAAAACCCAAUUUUUAAAUCCUAACAGCCCAAGCCCACAACAUAAACAAUUAGUUUCAGCAAAACAAACCCUAACCCCUAUGUGCGCCACUCCUCACGUGGCAUCAGUGCGUUUUGCACCUGAACAGACACCCCGUCCCAUCGCCCGUGCCACCAGUUCCGACUCUACCUGCAAAAUGGAAGAGAACAUGCAACAGCAACAGAGAACAGUAGCAAACACUGAUGAAAAACAAUGUAUUCCGGCUAUAAAGCCUUGAUAAAAUCAUUGUAAAAUGGGGGAUUUUUUCGAAUACAAAAAAGGAGAGAUUCAAUAAAAAAGAGAGAUUUUAAAAAAGCAAAAUAGAAAAUCUACAAAAUCGAUUCAAAAAAAAAAGGUUACUGAUUAUUUUUUUUUCUUUCUCUUUCAUUUUAUUUUCUUUCCUUUCUUUUCGAAUCUAUUGUUCCUUAUUUUACCUUUUUUUUUUUUAAAAACAGCAUAUAUAUAUAGAUAUAUAUAAAAUAAGAAAAAAAAACAAAAAAAAACCUUUUUGCACGGUGGCCGGCAACGGCCGCAGACGGAGCCGGAGCUUGGCCGGAGGGAGAGGGAGAGAGUUUUUUUUGAGAGAAUUUUUGGAAAAUUCUGUUUUGUGAAGAAGGAAAAUGAAAUUUUUAACAAAAAAAAUUGGUUUAUAUAGUGCCC